GAUGAACGCUGGCGGCGUGCUUAACACAUGCAAGUCGAGCGAAAAGUUUUGAAAAGUUUCUUCGUGUCAAAUUUAACAUGGAAAGCGGCGGACGGGUGAGUAACGCGUAGGCAACCUGCCCCAUACUCAGGGAUAGCGUUUGGAUACGAGUAUUUAUACUUUAUGACAUUUAUCUAUUGCAUGCUAGGUUGGUCCAAGCUUUAUUGGAUUGGGAUGGGCCUGAGUCUGAUUAGCUAGUUGGAGAGGUAACGGCUCACCAAGGCGACGAUCAGUACCCGACCUGAGAGGGUGAACGGCCACAUUGGAACUGAGACACGGGCCAAACUCCUACCGGAGGCAGCAGUGGGGAAUAUUGCAAAAUGGGGGAAACUCUGAUGCAGCAACGCCGCGUGAACGACGGAUGCCUGUGGGUCGUAAAUGUCUGUGCUAGGAGAUGAAAACUGACAGUAACCUAGGAGAAAGCCCCGGCUAACUACGUG
This 479-nucleotide ribosomal RNA is filed under the name uncultured bacterium. Its description in RNAcentral is "partial 16S ribosomal RNA". It matches the Rfam family "Bacterial small subunit ribosomal RNA", at positions 28 to 507 of the family's 1533-position model. The record is from RNAcentral.